AUUCCAGCUCCAAUAGCGUAUAUUAAAGUUGUUGCAGUUAAAAAGCUCGUAGUCGGAUUUUGGCAUCACGCCGAACUGUCUGCCGAUUGGUAAGUACGGUUUGGCGGGUGCUUCCUUCCGGAGGCUCGUUCCCUUCCUCAUUGAAGGGUUCGUUGGUUCCGGGUCUUUUACUUUGAGAAAAUUAGAGUGUUCAAAGCAGGCCUAUGCUCUGAAUAGGUUAGCAUGGAAUAAUAGAAUAGGACUUUGGUUCUAUUUUGUUGGUUUCUAGGACCGAAGUAAUGAUUAAUAGGGACAGUUGGGGGCAUUCAUAUUCCAUUGUCAGAGGUGAAAUUCUUGGAUUAACGGAAGAUGAACUUCUGCGAAAGCAUCUGCCAAGGAUGUUUUCAUCG
RNAcentral lists this ribosomal RNA (389 nucleotides) under Picozoa sp. Its description in RNAcentral is "partial small subunit ribosomal RNA". It matches the Rfam family "Eukaryotic small subunit ribosomal RNA", at positions 582 to 975 of the family's 1831-position model. The record is from RNAcentral. Lineage: Eukaryota; Picozoa.